CGCCGCGUGCAGGAAGACGCCUCGGUUGUAACUGCUUUCUGUGGGACGAGCAAGGACGGUACCACACGGAAUCAGCCCGGCUAACUACGUGC
This 92-nucleotide ribosomal RNA is filed under the name uncultured bacterium. Its description in RNAcentral is "partial 16S ribosomal RNA". The record is from RNAcentral.